RNAcentral lists this long non-coding RNA (494 nucleotides) under Anas platyrhynchos platyrhynchos (common mallard). RNAcentral's name for it is "lncRNA (ENSAPLG00000023219.1)". The record is from RNAcentral. Lineage: Eukaryota; Metazoa; Chordata; Aves; Anseriformes; Anatidae.
ACAGCUCUUCCCCAGAGCCGCUCGCCUCCAUAAUAGCCCUGCCACCUCUCAUUAGCAGUUUCCCCAUGGUAAUCCAAAGAGACAUCACCAUUCCGGUGCAGCCCAGCGUGGGUCAUUUCCAUGAAACAGCAGAAUUCAUUACGAAUGAGCACCAGAGAAAUCUGCGGCAGGCAGAAGAUAGAGAAUAAGUCCCGGAAUCUAAGCACAGAACAGCACCUUCCAUAGGCUCUGAAAUGAAGAUGAAAGGGAAUUGCAGCUCAUCGACUGAUUUGCAAAGAGCUUCACAUGCUCCCAGGCAGGAUCGUGUAGCAGCUCUGAAAUCAAUGAGGCAUUUGCCAUUUCCCUCUCACCUUGCCCACCUGUGGAUUGGCACAGGCCCAUGGCUCAGGAUUUAUGCCUGUGGAUUUCUUCUGCUUGAACAUGAAAGCAAAUGCCACUUUGGCUCAUCUUCACUCGAAGAAGGAGAGGGGGCAGGGAAACCUCCGAUGUCAUAG